ACCCCAGCCAAUCCUCCCGAAGCCAGUGAUUAUAUCUUCCGCAGAGGGAAGCGAUACGUGAGGCCCUACUACUUUGAGUUCAUCUCCCACGUUAAGAACAGGUGGGCCGGCAAGACUAUUGUGGAUCUCUUUGCGGAGGAGUUCAAAGGCGCCCUUAUGACUAUUAUGUA
Molecule: long non-coding RNA, 170 nt
Organism: Zingiber officinale
Lineage: Eukaryota; Viridiplantae; Streptophyta; Magnoliopsida; Zingiberales; Zingiberaceae
Exons: 3
Source: RefSeq, a predicted model, not a curated record